GCAGUCGAACGCUGUAGCAAUACAGAGUGGCAGACGGGUGAGUAACGCGUGGGAACCUUCCCCGUGGUACGGAAUAGCUCAGGGAAACUUGAGGUAAUACCGUAUAAGCCCCUAGGGGGAAAGAUUUAUCGCCGUUGGAUGGGCCCGCGUCGGAUUAGCUAGUUGGUGAGGUAAUGGCUCACCAAGGCGACGAUCCGUAACUGGUUUGAGAGAAUGACCAGCCACACUGGGACUGAGACACGGCCCAGACUCCUACGGGAGGCAGCACUGGGGAAUAUUGGACAAUGGGCGAAAGCCUGAUCCAGCCAUGCCGCGUGAGUGACGAAGGCCUUAGGGUUGUAAAGCUCUUUUGGCGGGGACAAUAAUGACGGUACCCGCAGAAUAAAUCCCGGCUAACUUCGUGCCAGCACCCGCGGUAAUACGAAGGGGACUAGCGUUGUUCGGAAUUACUGGGCGUAAAGCGCACGUAUGCGGAAUUGUAAGUCAGGGGUGAAAUCCCGGGGCUCAACCUCGGAACUGCCUUUGAUACUGCAAGUCUCGAGUCCGAUAGAGGUGGGUGGAGUUCCUAGUGUAGAGGUGAAAUUCUUAGAUAUUAUGAAGAACACCGGUGGCGAAGGCGGCCCACUGGAUCGGUACUGACGCUGAGGUGCGAAAACGUGGGGAGCAAACAGGAUUAUAUACCCUGGUAGUCCACGCCGUAAACUAUGGAUGCUAGCCGCCAGCAAGCUUGCUUGUCUGGUGGCUGCAGCUCACGCAUUAAGCAUCCCGCCUGGGGAGUACGGCCGCAACGUUAAAGACUCAAAGGAAUUGACUGGG
This 816-nucleotide ribosomal RNA is filed under the name uncultured microorganism. RNAcentral describes it as "bacterial SSU rRNA". It matches the Rfam family "Bacterial small subunit ribosomal RNA", at positions 57 to 918 of the family's 1533-position model. The record is from RNAcentral.